UUAGGUUUGAGUAUUUUCGAACUUACAUGUAUGUUAUUAUAGAAAGUAUCAAGCAAUAUAAAACAAUUGAAAAAUCUGAUAUUUUCUACGACAUACAUGUGAGUUCGGAUGUACCCGAACCUA
Molecule: microRNA precursor, 123 nt
Filed under: Glycine max (soybean)
Lineage: Eukaryota; Viridiplantae; Streptophyta; Magnoliopsida; Fabales; Fabaceae
Description: miR10444 stem-loop (gma-MIR10444)
Source: miRBase by way of RNAcentral